This 903-nucleotide long non-coding RNA is filed under the name Danio rerio (zebrafish). RNAcentral describes it as "lncRNA si:dkey-117p18.2 (ENSDARG00000096758.2)". The record is from RNAcentral. Lineage: Eukaryota; Metazoa; Chordata; Actinopteri; Cypriniformes; Danionidae.
UGGUAUUUACCCUGUAAGUACAGGGAACAAGGGGGUAAGAAGGGAGGAGCAAUCCUUCACUUUAAUUUACAACCCUCAACUGUGGUAUUUACCCUUUAAGUACAGGGAACAAGGGGGUAACAAGGGAGGAGCAAUGCUUCACUUUAAUCUACAACCCUCAAAUGUGGUAUUUACCCUUUAAGUACAGGGAACAAGGGGGUAACAAGGGAGGAGCAAUGCUUCACUUUAAUUUACAACCCUCAAAUGUGGUAUUUACCCUAAAAGUACAGGGAAUAAGGACGGAACAAAUACUGUUUUUACCCUUUAACUACAGGGAACAAAGAGGGAAGAAGCUGAACUUUAACACACUAGUGUAUACUUAAACACUAAUGAACAGAGAAAACUACAGCAGCAGUUUUUAUUGAUUGAAGACCAAAUUACUACAUUUUUCUAUAAAGCAUCAGCUAUAAGUUUACUGAAAUGCAAACAGCAGUAAAGAUGGGAGCCUGUUUUAAUCUGCAUUGAACCCUGAUGGUAGGCCUAUAUCAUGCAAAGUUAUUUGUUAAUAGUGAGUUAUGAAGACAUUGAUGGCUUUGGUGAGAUCGACGAGUAAACAUAAGGUAAGUAGUGUAUGGAAAGAUAUUUUUUAUUGAAUUGCAGAUUUAAAAUACAUACAGUAUACAAUAAGGGGUUCAUAAUUUCACAAGUUGUAAACCUUUUAUUCAUUAAACACCCCAUAUAAAACCCAAGCACUGAAUAAAGUACUAAUGUACUCACGCAGGUGCAUGUACAGUACAUUUGCAGAUAGCAAUAGGUUAUCACCAUCCUUGCAUAAUUCUUUAUAUGUAUACAAUACUUAAAGAAAAGUACAUCAUAACCAUAAUAUACUUACCAGGUUCUUUGCGUGAUGAAUAUCUUAUUGUU